RNAcentral lists this ribosomal RNA (430 nucleotides) under uncultured archaeon. RNAcentral describes it as "bacterial SSU rRNA". It matches the Rfam family "Archaeal small subunit ribosomal RNA", at positions 474 to 903 of the family's 1478-position model. The record is from RNAcentral.
UACCAGCUCUCCGAGUGGUAGGGAUGAUUAUUGGGCUUAAAGCGUCCGUAGCCGGCUUAGCAAGUCUCCUGUUAAAUUCAGCGACCUAAUCGUUGAGGUCGCGGGAGAUACUAUUAGGCUAGGAGGCGGGAGAGGUCGACGGUACUUCUGGGGUAGGGGUGAAAUCCUAUAAUCCCGGGAGGACCACCAGUGGCGAAGGCUGUCGACUAGAACGCGCUCGACGGUGAGGGACGGAAGCUGGGGGAGCGAACCGGAUUAGAUACCCGGGUAGUCCCAGCUGUAAACGAUGCGGGCUAGGUGUUGGGGUGGCUACGUGCCACUUCAGUGCCGCAGGGAAGCCAUUAAGCCCGCCGCCUGGGGAGUACGGCCGCAAGGCUGAAACUUAAAGGAAUUGGCGGGGGAGCACCACAAGGCGUGAAGCUUGCGGUUC